GAUGAACGCUGGCGGCGUGCUUAACACAUGCAAGUCGAACGGGAUCCAUCAAGCUUGCUUGGUGGUGAGAGUGGCGAACGGGUGAGUAAUGCGUGACCGACCUGCCCCAUGCUCCGGAAUAGCUCCUGGAAACGGGUGGUAAUGCCGGAUGUUCCACAUGAUCGCAUGUGAUUGUGGGAAAGAUUCUAUCGGCGUGGGAUGGGGUCGCGUCCUAUCAGCUUGUUGGUGAGGUAACGGCUCACCAAGGCUUCGACGGGUAGCCGGCCUGAGAGGGCGACCGGCCACAUUGGGACUGAGAUACGGCCCAGACUCCUACGGGAGGCAGCAGUGGGGAAUAUUGCACAAUGGGCGCAAGCCUGAUGCAGCGACGCCGCGUGAGGGAUGGAGGCCUUCGGGUUGUAAACCUCUUUUGUUUGGGAGCAAGCCUUCGGGUGAGUGUACCUUU
RNAcentral lists this ribosomal RNA (445 nucleotides) under uncultured bacterium. RNAcentral describes it as "bacterial SSU rRNA". It matches the Rfam family "Bacterial small subunit ribosomal RNA", at positions 28 to 482 of the family's 1533-position model. The record is from RNAcentral.